This 468-nucleotide ribosomal RNA is filed under the name uncultured bacterium. RNAcentral's name for it is "partial 16S ribosomal RNA". It matches the Rfam family "Bacterial small subunit ribosomal RNA", at positions 28 to 507 of the family's 1533-position model. The record is from RNAcentral.
GACGAACGCUGGCGGCGUGCUUAACACAUGCAAGUCGAACGGAAAGGCCCUGCUUUUGUGGGGUGCUCGAGUGGCGAACGGGUGAGUAACACGUGAGUAACCUGCCCUUGACUUUGGGAUAACUUCAGGAAACUGGGGCUAAUACCGGAUAGGAGCUCCUGCUGCAUGGUGGGGGUUGGAAAGUUUCGGCGGUUGGGGAUGGACUCGCGGCUUAUCAGCUUGUUGGUGGGGUAGUGGCUUACCAAGGCUUUGACGGGUAGCCUGCCUGAGAGGGUGACCGGCCACAUUGGGACUGAGAUACGGCCCAGACUCCUACGGGAGGCAGCAGUGGAGAAUAUUGCACAAUGGGCGGAAGCCUGAUGCAGCAACGCCGCGUGCGGGAUGACGGCCUUCGGGUUGUAAACCGCUUUCGCCUGUGACGAAGCGUGAGUGACGGUAAUGGGUAAAGAAGCACCGGCUAACUACGUG